UACGAAGGGGGCUAGCGUUGUUCGGAAUCACUGGGCGUAAAGGGCGCGUAGGCGGCCGAUCAAGUCGGGGGUGAAAGCCUGUGGCUCAACCACAGAAUUGCCUUCGAUACUGUUUGGCUUGAGACCGGAAGAGGUAAGUGGAACUGCGAGUGUAGAGGUGAAAUUCGUAGAUAUUCGCAAGAACACCAGUGGCGAAGGCGGCUCACUGGCCCGGUACUGACGCUGAGGUGCGAAAGCGUGGGGAGCAAACAGG
This 253-nucleotide ribosomal RNA is filed under the name uncultured bacterium. RNAcentral describes it as "partial 16S ribosomal RNA". It matches the Rfam family "Bacterial small subunit ribosomal RNA", at positions 524 to 776 of the family's 1533-position model. The record is from RNAcentral.